RNAcentral lists this ribosomal RNA (466 nucleotides) under uncultured bacterium. Its description in RNAcentral is "partial 16S ribosomal RNA". It matches the Rfam family "Bacterial small subunit ribosomal RNA", at positions 28 to 507 of the family's 1533-position model. The record is from RNAcentral.
GACGAACGCUGGCGGCGUGCUUAACACAUGCAAGUCGAACGGAAAGGCCCUGCUUGCAGGGUACUCGAGUGGCGAACGGGUGAGUAACACGUGGGUGAUCUGCCCUGCACUUCGGGAUAAGCUUGGGAAACUGGGUCUAAUACCGGAUAGGAACCAUCUUUAGUGUGGUGGUUGGAAAGUUUUUUCGGUGUAGGAUGAGCUCGCGGCCUAUCAGCUUGUUGGCGGGGUAAUGGCCUACCAAGGCGGCGACGGGUAGCCGGCCUGAGAGGGUGUACGGCCACAUUGGGACUGAGAUACGGCCCAGACUCCUACGGGAGGCAGCAGUGGGGAAUAUUGCACAAUGGGCGCAAGCCUGAUGCAGCGACGCCGCGUGGGGGAUGAAGGCCUUCGGGUUGUAAACUCCUUUCGCUAGGGACGAAGCUUUGUUGUGACGGUACCUAGAUAAGAAGCACCGGCUAACUACGUG